AUGGAUCUCGGCCCGCGGGACCGCUUGGCUCCUCCGCGGGAGGCAGGCGGGGACCGGAGCCCUCUUCCGAUCCAACUCCGAGCGGCGACCGCCUCCUCCGAAAAGCCGCCCGAGAGGAGGGCGGGACGCGCCGGGGCCGCGGGUGCCGAGCGCCAGCAGCCCGCGCCGUGUGUGGUGCGGCGAGGGGUGGGGAGGAGGCGCGGGCGGGGGAGGGCUUUAUUUUUUCCCUCUUUUCCUAAAAAGGAUGACUGCUACGAAGUUCUCCCCCCUGGACCCCCUCUUCCGCUGCACCCCACCGGCGCACCCCGCCUCCGGGCCGCGCACCCUUUCUCCUCCUCCUGCUCCUGCGCCGCGGCGCCGGCGGCGGCCGCCCCCUCCGCGCUCCCGCCGCGCUCCCGCUCCCGCUCCCGCGCCGCUCCCGCUCCGGGCGAUGACGGCCGCGCCGGCGGGGAGGGCCCGGCGCCCGGCACCUUCGCAGGCAGCGGCGGCGGCGGCGGCGGCGGGCGGCUCGGCGGGGAAACCGGGAGCGGCGGGCGGGAGCGCGGCGGGGGCGGGGGCGGGGGCGGGGGCGGGGAGGAAGGGGCGGGCGCGGGGCGGGCGGGGGGCCUGGCCUCUUACUUCAUUCUCUCUGAGCGACUGGUUUCCUGUACGUACGUCACACGGUUCAUUCAAAAAAAGAAGAAAGAAAGAGCCCUCCUCGGAGCCGCCCCGCCGCCCCGCCGCCCCGCCGCCCCGCCGCCCCGCCGCCGCGCUCGCCUUCCCGGGUUAAAGGAGCCGCGGCCGGGCCGGGAGCGGCGCGCGCCCCGCCGAGGACACAUGGCGCGCAGGCCCGCGGCCGGGGAGGGCGCGCCCGGGACGCCCCCGCCCGCCAGCCCCGCCCGCCCGCCCGCUCGCUCGCCGGGCCCGGCCGGUGGGUGGCGCGGGCGGCGCAGGCCUCCCGCGCGGCCGCGGCGCGGUGGGUGUGCGAGGGGCCUCCUCGGGCCUGCGAGGGGCGGGCGCGCCCGGGGCACUGCUGCGCGCGGGAGCCGCGCCGACCCCUCGGGCCGCGUGUGCGUGCGCGUGUGCGUGUGCGUGUGCACACAUCGCGGUGCCGGCUGCCGGCAGCUGCCGGGCGGAGACCCAGGCCCACGCCGGCCCCGAGCGGGGGCGCCGGGCGAUGCCCUCCGGCGGGGCGGGCCGGGACGGCCGGGGACGGGCCGGGGACGGGCCAGGGAAGCCCCCGGCGAGCGCCGGGUUCACUCGCAAGUCGCGUCCCAGGUGUGCGGGCGCAGCGCCCGCCCUGGAGACGCCAUCCGUGCCCAGGGCCGGACACAGCUCUGCGCGGGCCGGGAGGGGCGAGGCGGGGAUGUCAAGGGCUUGCAAACGGCUAAGUCCAUGUUUGUCCUCUGCCCCCGAGGGUCCUGGCGCUAG
RNAcentral lists this long non-coding RNA (1410 nucleotides) under Canis lupus familiaris (dog). Its description in RNAcentral is "lncRNA (ENSCAFG00040001801.1)". Lineage: Eukaryota; Metazoa; Chordata; Mammalia; Carnivora; Canidae. The record is from RNAcentral.